GCAUUUAAGCGGCUUUUAGAUAUAUAAAAAAAUCACUCGUAAUGAGAAGGUCGCCGGUUCGAUUCCGGCUGGUAGCUUA
This 79-nucleotide transfer RNA is filed under the name Caudoviricetes sp. RNAcentral's name for it is "tRNA-Thr". The record is from RNAcentral. Lineage: Duplodnaviria; Heunggongvirae; Uroviricota; Caudoviricetes.